RNAcentral lists this ribosomal RNA (248 nucleotides) under uncultured bacterium. RNAcentral describes it as "partial 16S ribosomal RNA". It matches the Rfam family "Bacterial small subunit ribosomal RNA", at positions 107 to 339 of the family's 1533-position model. The record is from RNAcentral.
UGAGUAACACGUAGAUAAUCUACCCAGGUGUUUGGAAUAACUAACCGAAAGGUUAGCUAAUACCGAAUACGUUCACAUCACCGCAAGGUAGUGUGAAGAAAGAUGGCCUCUCCUUGGAAGCUAUCGCAUUUGGAUGAGUUUGCGUACCAUUAGCUAGUUGGUGGGGUAAGAGCCUACCAAGGCUACGAUGGUUAGCGGGUCUGAGAGGAUGAUCCGCCACACUGGAACUGGAACACGGACCAGACUCC